ACAGUCUCAGUUCGGAUUNAAGGCUGAAAUUCGCCUUCAUGAAGCCGGAAUUGCUAGUAAUGGCAGGUCAGCAUACUGCCGUGAAUACGUUCCCGGGCCUUGUACACACCGCCCGUCACACCAUGAGAGUUGGGGAUACCCGAAGCCUGUGAGCUAACAGUAAUGAAGCAGCAGUCGAAGGUAGAAUCAAUGAUUGGGGUGAAGUCGUAACAAGGUAAC
Molecule: ribosomal RNA, 219 nt
Filed under: uncultured bacterium
Lineage: Bacteria
Description: partial 16S ribosomal RNA
Rfam family: Bacterial small subunit ribosomal RNA
Source: RNAcentral